This 366-nucleotide ribosomal RNA is filed under the name uncultured bacterium. RNAcentral's name for it is "bacterial SSU rRNA". It matches the Rfam family "Bacterial small subunit ribosomal RNA", at positions 538 to 906 of the family's 1533-position model. The record is from RNAcentral.
AUACUUGUCUGAUCUUGGGCGUAAAGGGAGCGCAGGCGGGCAUAUAAGUCUUUCUUAAAAGUUCGGGGCUCAACCCCGUGAUGGGAAAGAAACUAUAUGUCUUGAGUACAGGAGAGGAAAGCGGAAUUCCCAGUGUAGCGGUGAAAUGCUAGAUAUUGGGAGGAACACCAGUGGCGAAGGCGGCUUUCUGGACUGCAACUGACGCUGAGGCUCGAAAGCCAGGGGAGCGAACGGGAUUAGAUACCCCGGUAGUCCUGGCCGUAAACGAUGGAUACUAGGUGUGGGAGGUAUCGACCCCUACCGUGCCGGAGUUAACGCAAUAAGUAUCCCGCCUGGGGAGUACGGUCGCAAGACUGAAACUCAAGG